GGGUCAGUAGGUUGGUCGUGCCACCGGUACGUACUGGUCUCACUGAUUCCUCCUUCCUGAAGAACCGUAAUGCCAUUAAUUUGGUGUUGCGGGGAAACAGGACUCUUACUUUGAAAAAAUUAGAGUGUUUAAAGCAAGCUAACGCUUGAAUACAUUAGCAUGGAAUAAUGAAAUAGGACGAUCGAUCCUAUUUUGUUGGUUUCUAGGAUUGACGUA
RNAcentral lists this ribosomal RNA (216 nucleotides) under Glomeromycotina sp. RNAcentral's name for it is "partial small subunit ribosomal RNA". The stretch from base 40 to 216 matches the Rfam family "Eukaryotic small subunit ribosomal RNA", at positions 686 to 864 of the family's 1831-position model. Lineage: Eukaryota; Fungi; Glomeromycota. The record is from RNAcentral.